Molecule: small nucleolar RNA, 106 nt
Organism: Zingiber officinale
Lineage: Eukaryota; Viridiplantae; Streptophyta; Magnoliopsida; Zingiberales; Zingiberaceae
Source: RefSeq, a predicted model, not a curated record
AUCUCAUGAUGUGGACAUUGGUAUAAAAGAUAUAAGAAUAUGUCCCAUGCUUGGCAUAACAUUUCCCCUUCCUUCUGAUCGAAAUGCAGGAUUUGAUUCUUAAGUU